RNAcentral lists this ribosomal RNA (253 nucleotides) under uncultured bacterium. Its description in RNAcentral is "partial 16S ribosomal RNA". It matches the Rfam family "Bacterial small subunit ribosomal RNA", at positions 524 to 776 of the family's 1533-position model. The record is from RNAcentral.
UACGGGGGGGGCAAGCGUUGUUCGGAAUUACUGGGCGUAAAGGGCUCGUAGGCGGCCAACUAAGUCAGACGUGAAAUCCCUCGGCUUAACCGGGGAACUGCGUCUGAUACUGGAUGGCUUGAGUGUGGGAGAGGGAUGCGGAAUUCCAGGUGUAGCGGUGAAAUGCGUAGAUAUCUGGAGGAACACCGGUGGCGAAGGCGGCAUCCUGGACCAUUACUGACGCUGAUGAGCGAAAGCCAGGGGAGCAAACGGG